GAGGGGGCAGAACUCGAGGGAUUCGCUGGUGGGACAGCGAGGGUCUCAGCACUGGCCAUGCCCAGGCUUUGACAGCUGGAUGAGGAGGGAGCCCUCAGUCCCAACCCUAUGGGAACAGCUUGGCCAAGCGGGACAGAGAAGGGGCUGUGGCCCUGGUGGGGAGAGUGGAGGGGCCUACUCAGCAGUCAGCCAGGCUCUGGUGGGGGUGGCCAACCACAGGAGAGGGACACAGAGGUACCAGAAAAAGCCUCUGCCACAGCUGCUUGAGAGUCAGGGUUUGGCAGGGGAAGAUGGUAGGAGGACAGCUGCCCCACCCUGUGGUGUGAUGGGUGCUGGAAAUGGAGCCUGGGGCCCAGGUCACUAAUAAAUGUGUGUCUCACCAUGGCAGGAGUGGCACUGCUCUGUCUGCAGCAUGGGAUGGGGAGGGCAUCAGGACCUCUGAAUCGCUCUCGGCUGGGACAGGGAGUAGGACCUAAGUUCCUGCCCCUCUAUGGACCCUCAGCAUACAGAUGGUCAGGGAACCUGGGCUCCAUGCCACCUGCUUCCUUCAAUGCUAGCCCUGUGGUGGCCAGGCUGCCCCUCACUUCCCUCACGAGCCCUGCUGUGGCUUUUGGGGAGUCCCAGAUGGGAGCCUUGAGCUUCCCUAGUGGAGCAGUGGCUGAGCCGGGCUGACUCUAGUGAAAUGAGCAGAGAGUUUGAAUCUGG
This 705-nucleotide long non-coding RNA is filed under the name Homo sapiens (human). RNAcentral describes it as "HSALNT0171092". Lineage: Eukaryota; Metazoa; Chordata; Mammalia; Primates; Hominidae. The record is from RNAcentral.